GUAGGUGGCAAGCGUUGUCCGGAAUUAUUGGGCGUAAAGCGCGCGCAGGCGGUUCUUUAAGUCUGAUGUGAAAGCCCACGGGCUCAACCGUGGAGGGUCAUUGGAAACUGGAGAACUUGAGUACAGAAGAGGAAAGCGGAAUUCUACGUGUAGCGGUGAAAUGCGUAGAGAUGUGGAGGAACACCAGUGGCGAAGGCGGCUUUCUGGUCUGUAACUGACGCUGAGGCGCGGAAGCGUGGGGAGCAAACAGGAUUAGAUACCCUGGUAGUCCACGCCGUAAACGAUGAGUGCUAAGUGUUAGGGGGUUUCCGCCCCUUAGUGCUGCAGCUAACGCAUUAAGCACUCCGCCUGGGGAGUACGGCCGCAAGGCUG
This 372-nucleotide ribosomal RNA is filed under the name uncultured organism. RNAcentral describes it as "partial 16S ribosomal RNA". It matches the Rfam family "Bacterial small subunit ribosomal RNA", at positions 527 to 896 of the family's 1533-position model. The record is from RNAcentral.